GACGAACGCUGGCGGCGUGCUUAACACAUGCAAGUCGAACGGAAAGGCCCUGCUUUUGUGGGGUGCUCGAGUGGCGAACGGGUGAGUAACACGUGAGUAACCUGCCCUUGACUUUGGGAUAACUUCAGGAAACUGGGGCUAAUACCGGAUAGGAGCUCCUGCUGCAUGGUGGGGGUUGGAAAGUUUCGGCGGUUGGGGAUGGUCUCGCGGCUUAUCAGCUUGUUGGUGGGGUAGUGGCUUACCAAGGCUUUGACGGGUAGCCGGCCUGAGAGGGUGACCGGCCACAUUGGGACUGAGAUACGGCCCAGACUCCUACGGGAGGCAGCGGUGGGGAUUAUUGCACAAUGGGCGGAAGCCUGAUGCAGCAACGCCGCGGGCGGGAUGACGGCCUUCGGGUUGUAAACCGCUUUCGCCUGUGACGAAGCGUGAGUGACGGUAAUGGGUAAAGAAGCACCGGCUAACUACGUG
RNAcentral lists this ribosomal RNA (468 nucleotides) under uncultured bacterium. RNAcentral's name for it is "partial 16S ribosomal RNA". It matches the Rfam family "Bacterial small subunit ribosomal RNA", at positions 28 to 507 of the family's 1533-position model. The record is from RNAcentral.